Molecule: ribosomal RNA, 650 nt
Filed under: uncultured bacterium
Lineage: Bacteria
Description: bacterial SSU rRNA
Rfam family: Bacterial small subunit ribosomal RNA
Source: RNAcentral
CAAGGCGACGACGGGUAGCCGGCCUGAGAGGGUGUCCGGCCACACUGGGACUGAGAUACGGCCCAGACUCCUACGGGAGGCAGCAGUGGGGAAUAUUGCACAAUGGGCGCAAGCCUGAUGCAGCGACGCCGCGUGGGGGAUGACGGCCUUCGGGUUGUAAACCUCUUUCACCAUCGGCGAAGCCUUCAGCUUUUGUUGGGGGUGACGGUAGGUGGAGAAGAAGCACCGGCCAACUACGUGCCAGCAGCCGCGGUAAUACGUAGGGUGCGAGCGUUGUCCGGAAUUACUGGGCGUAAAGAGCUCGUAGGUGGUUUGUCGCGUUGUUCGUGAAAUUCCCUGGCUUAACUGGGGGCGUGCGGGCGAUACGGGCAGACUGGAGUACUGCAGGGGAGACUGGAAUUCCUGGUGUAGCGGUGGAAUGCGCAGAUAUCAGGAGGAACACCGGUGGCGAAGGCGGGUCUCUGGGCAGUAACUGACGCUGAGGAGCGAAAGCGUGGGGAGCGAACAGGAUUAGAUACCCUGGUAGUCCACGCCGUAAACGGUGGGUACUAGGUGUGGGUUUCCUUCCUUGGGAUCCGUGCCGUAGCUAACGCAUUAAGUACCCCGCCUGGGGAGUACGGCCGCAAGGCUAAAACUCAAAGGAAUGACGA